GGGCCCGCACAAGCGGUGGAGCAUGUGGUUCAAUUCGACGCAACGCGAAGAACCUUACCUGGGUUGGAACCCUCCAGAAGUCCGCAGAGAUGUGGAUGUGCUCGCAAGAGAACUGGAUGUCCAGGUGCUGCAUGGCUGUCGUCAGCUCGUGUCGUGAGAUGUUGGGUUAAGUCCCGCAACGAGCGCAACCCUUGUCGUUAGUUGCUAACAGUUCGGCUGAGCACUCUAACGAGACUGCCGGUGUUAAACCGGAGGAAGGUGGGGAUGACGUCAAGUCCUCAUGGCCCUUAUGCCCAGGGCUACACACGUGCUACAAUGGGCGGUACAAAGCGUCGCUAACCCGCGAGGGGGAGCCAAUCGCAAAAAACCGUCCUCAGUUCAGAUUGCAGUCUGCAACUCGACUGCAUGAAGUUGGAAUCGCUAGUAAUCCCUGAUCAGCAGGCAGGGGUGAAUACGUUCCCGGGCCUU
Molecule: ribosomal RNA, 468 nt
Filed under: uncultured bacterium
Lineage: Bacteria
Description: bacterial SSU rRNA
Rfam family: Bacterial small subunit ribosomal RNA
Source: RNAcentral